ACCUGCGGUGAAGGAUCAUUG
RNAcentral lists this ribosomal RNA (21 nucleotides) under Cryptandra connata. RNAcentral describes it as "partial 18S ribosomal RNA". The record is from RNAcentral. Lineage: Eukaryota; Viridiplantae; Streptophyta; Magnoliopsida; Rosales; Rhamnaceae.